RNAcentral lists this ribosomal RNA (675 nucleotides) under Acinetobacter baumannii. Its description in RNAcentral is "bacterial SSU rRNA". It matches the Rfam family "Bacterial small subunit ribosomal RNA", at positions 109 to 779 of the family's 1533-position model. The record is from RNAcentral. Lineage: Bacteria; Pseudomonadati; Pseudomonadota; Gammaproteobacteria; Moraxellales; Moraxellaceae.
AGUAAUGCUUAGGAAUCUGCCUAUUAGUGGGGGACAACAUCUCGAAAGGGAUGCUAAUACCGCAUACGUCCUACGGGAGAAAGCAGGGGAUCUUCGGACCUUGCGCUAAUAGAUGAGCCUAAGUCGGAUUAGCUAGUUGGUGGGGUAAAGGCCUACCAAGGCGACGAUCUGUAGCGGGUCUGAGAGGAUGAUCCGCCACACUGGGACUGAGACACGGCCCAGACUCCUACGGGAGGCAGCAGUGGGGAAUAUUGGACAAUGGGGGGAACCCUGAUCCAGCCAUGCCGCGUGUGUGAAGAAGGCCUUAUGGUUGUAAAGCACUUUAAGCGAGGAGGAGGCUACUUUAGUUAAUACCUAGAGAUAGUGGACGUUACUCGCAGAAUAAGCACCGGCUAACUCUGUGCCAGCAGCCGCGGUAAUACAGAGGGUGCGAGCGUUAAUCGGAUUUACUGGGCGUAAAGCGUGCGUAGGCGGCUUAUUAAGUCGGAUGUGAAAUCCCCGAGCUUAACUUGGGAAUUGCAUUCGAUACUGGUGAGCUAGAGUAUGGGAGAGGAUGGUAGAAUUCCAGGUGUAGCGGUGAAAUGCGUAGAGAUCUGGAGGAAUACCGAUGGCGAAGGCAGCCAUCUGGCCUAAUACUGACGCUGAGGUACGAAAGCAUGGGGAGCAAACAGGAUU